RNAcentral lists this ribosomal RNA (472 nucleotides) under uncultured bacterium. Its description in RNAcentral is "bacterial SSU rRNA". It matches the Rfam family "Bacterial small subunit ribosomal RNA", at positions 355 to 825 of the family's 1533-position model. The record is from RNAcentral.
UGGGGAAUAUUGGACAAUGGGCGAAAGCCUGAUCCAGCCAUGCCGCGUGUGUGAAGAAGGUCUUCGGAUUGUAAAGCACUUUAAGUUGGGAGGAAGGGCAGUAAAUUAAUACUUUGCUGUUUUGACGUUACCGACAGAAUAAGCACCGGCUAACUCUGUGCCAGCAGCCGCGGUAAUACAGAGGGUGCAAGCGUUAAUCGGAAUUACUGGGCGUAAAGCGCGCGUAGGUGGUUUGUUAAGUUGGAUGUGAAAUCCCCGGGCUCAACCUGGGAACUGCAUCCAAAACUGGCAAGCUAGAGUAUGGUAGAGGGUGGUGGAAUUUCCUGUGUAGCGGUGAAAUGCGUAGAUAUAGGAAGGAACACCAGUGGCGAAGGCGACCACCUGGACUGAUACUGACACUGAGGUGCGAAAGCGUGGGGAGCAAACAGGAUUAGAUACCCCGGUAGUCCCUGAGCGGGCUGGCAAGGCGCAU